AACUUUUAACAAUGGAUCACUUGGUUCUCCCAUCGAUGAAGAACGCAGCGAAAUGCGAUAAGUAGUGUGAAUUGCAGAAUUCAGUGAAUCAUCGAAUCUUUGAACGCACAUUGCGCCCUCUGGUAUUCCGGGGGGCAUGCCUGUUCGAGCGUCAUCAAAACCACUCAGGUUGGGGGUUUUCGAAACCCCAGCUUGGUCUUGGGCACGAGGGAUCAGAACCCUCCGCCUGGAAUGCAGUGGCGGAUAUUCCGGCUUGGCAAGAGCGUGAUAAACACGUCGUUCGCGAUUGGAGGCCGGAAUGCGCAGCCAUAAUAAACCCCCAAACCAUGUCUCAAGUUUGACCUCGGAUCAGGUAGGGAUACCCGCUGAACUUAAGCAUAUCAAUAAGCGGAGGCU
Molecule: unclassified non-coding RNA, 396 nt
Filed under: uncultured Tarzetta
Lineage: Eukaryota; Fungi; Ascomycota; Pezizomycetes; Pezizales; Pyronemataceae
Description: sequence contains ITS2
Rfam family: 5.8S ribosomal RNA (bases 1-154)
Source: RNAcentral